This is a long non-coding RNA of Amaranthus tricolor (Joseph's coat), 578 nucleotides long. RefSeq lists it as uncharacterized. The record is from RefSeq and is a predicted model, not a curated record. The transcript is spliced from 3 exons. Lineage: Eukaryota; Viridiplantae; Streptophyta; Magnoliopsida; Caryophyllales; Amaranthaceae.
AUUCUCUAUAUAAUAUUCUAAAACGUAAGUAAUAAUAUGAAUAGAGAGUAUAAAAAGGAGUAAAUAUUGGCUAAUUGGAACCUUCCCUUGUAAAAUUCUUUCCCUUCCCAUUUAAGCUCCUUUUGGGUCUCUAUAUAUAUUUAGGUACAAGUUUUCAAUCCCAUAAAUCAUACAACAUAAUCUCUUUCUAAACUUGAGUCUAAUUGAGUUUCAACAAAACCUAUUAAUAUUAUAUAUCUACAACCACUCCAUUCAAUAUAAGAAAAAUGAGCAACACACAAAAUCAACAACAACAAAAUAUGGAUAACAUCCCUCCUGCUGGAUACCCAACUCUAACACCACCAGAGGGAAAGAUGAAGAAAAAGGGUUGGUUUCGCACCAAGAAGAGAGGAGAAAAAGGUUUCAUUGAAGGAUGUUUGGCUGGACUAUGUUGCUGUUGGAUCUGUGAAGAGUGCUGCUGCUAAAUGAUCAUCGCUUGAUGAUCAUUAUAUUUUCAUUAAUCUUUAUAUUGUGUGAAGUGUUUGGAUAUUAUUUUUCAAUUAAUUAGAAAUAUAUCGUACUAUAUAUAUUUUCAAAUA